This is a non-coding RNA of Heterocephalus glaber (naked mole-rat), 432 nucleotides long. Lineage: Eukaryota; Metazoa; Chordata; Mammalia; Rodentia; Bathyergidae. The record is from RefSeq and is a predicted model, not a curated record.
GAGAGGAGAGACAGUCUGAAGUGAACAGAGCUGCUAGGCAUUCUGCCUUCUCCACCUGGUGUUCAGCCUGAGUUCGAAACUACCAGCCUAAAAAGAAAAUCACAAUUUGUGAGAAUACAAACAAUAGGAUUGUGGGUAUUUCCUAACUGAUUUUAAGGCUUUGCAUCAUUUGAAAUAUACAGUCACCCAAAGUUUGAUGUUGGUCACACAAAUAUUCCAAAGUGGAAUCUUUCAUUAUCUUUUCAUACAGCAGUGUGGCGACUUUACACAGGAUUUUAUUUUCAAUCCAAAAUUGAAUGAAUGAUCUGGAUGCCCUACUGAGGUCCUGAGUCGUGCAGGAGACGCCGAAUCACUCGGCUACAGACAGGCAGGUCUGCCCACGCCCUACCGAGGUCCCGAGUGGCACCGAACAUGCCGAAUCAGCCCGCUGCA